Esox lucius (northern pike) is the source of this 2801-nucleotide long non-coding RNA. The record is from Ensembl. Lineage: Eukaryota; Metazoa; Chordata; Actinopteri; Esociformes; Esocidae.
GUGUUCCAGGCUCAUCCAGCUGGGAGGAGACCUCAUGGUAGGCCCAGGACUAGGUGGAGAGAUUAUAUUUCGACACUGGCCUGGGAACGCCUUGGGAUCCCCCAGUCAGAGCUGGCAAAUGUGGCUCGGGAAAGGGAAGUUUGGGGUCCCCUGCUGGAGCUGCUGCCCCCGCGACCCAAUACCAGAUAAGCGGAUGAAGAUGAGAUGAGAUUAUAUUUUUAUGCAUAAAUAUAUUUAUUGAUAUAUUUAUUUAUUCAUUACAUUAUUGGUCCUCCAUACUCCCUAGGCUCGAAUUGCUGAAGAGCCAACGUAUGGACAGAUUCCAAGCAGGCUUGAUAGCUAUAUAGUCAGGUGAUUGCCGAACUUAGUGUUUGUUGCUGGAAAAAAGUAGCUUAGCAAGGUAACGUCUUAAUGUUUAAGUAGACAACUAACGUUAAGUGAAAGCUGCGCAUAACUACCUAACGUUUAUUAGCUAAAUAAUUAGCCAUGUAAAUUACGUUAUCAUUUGAACCAAGCCAACUUAUAACGUUAAUGAAUGGAUAUAAUGGUGUAGCCAACGUCAAUAACCCACCAUGAACACAUCCCUGUCUUCAUAUCCAGGACCUGACAGAACCAGAUUCCCAGAUGUACCACCACCAUGCCUUUGACAGCUGUACCAUGCCCCCUCUUCCCAGCAAGGACAAAUGGAGAAAACACAGACAACUGCAUUACCUCAAGGCCUGUAAUGCUUUGGUUGAUGAAGUGGAGACAUAAUCCACUGGCCCCUUAAACAGCCUGGCAGAGGAGAGCUGCAGCUCUAGACAAGCCAGCAGAAUAGAACCCUGGAAACAUGGGAGAGGGCCUCAAACACACUCAGUACUGGAGAUGAAUGGCAGACAAGGUGCUUUGAGAAUCAUGUGAAGCCAGUAUGUCAGUCAUACAAUGCAUGCUAAUCCAGCACUGGUACACUAGCCAAAUAUGCACUAUAUUUACAUCACAUUAGUCAUUUAGCAGAUGCUCUUAUCAUGGACGACUUCUAGGAUCAGUUGAGGCAAGUAACCUUUUGGUAACUGACCCAACAUGUUAACGCUAUGAUGUCAAGCAAUAUACUGACAUCUAUACAAUGACUUCAGCAACCUCUUUGAUAUAUUUCUGUCUACCUUCCCUUCCUAGCUCCAGAUGACCCAUGUUAUGCUGUGGGAGUCUCAUCCCAUGCCCUCCUUCGCUGCCAGAACACACCUUAAACACCUCCUGGGACAUGCCGCUUCCCACAAAUUAACCUGAUUCGGGACAGGUGGAGCUGACUGGAUCGCAAAGGUGACAAGUUGCACCUGGGUUUGGGACCAACUAGAAGAUGAAUGUUCCUGGUGCCCAUUCCUGGCUCUCCCCCCCCCACAAGGACCAUGUGGUUUUGUGAAUUGGUUGAUUUGUGUUGUGAUUAGGUGCACCCAUCAACACUUACACAUUUUACACUCACCCAGGCAUCUCCACUCAUAUGCCUACUUUCACACUUCACAGGUCAGUUUUUCUUCGUAGUCCCCUAGUUUGUGUUACAUUUCCUAGUUCUCUGUUGUUUUUGUUUGUACGUGUGGGUGUUCUGGUCCGUGUCUCCUCUUCACAGGUGGCAUACACCGCGGGCAUACAUCACCCGUAGGGUUCUGAAUGUCUAUAGACUAGGUAAGAUCUGGGCGGACCACUCCCUGUAUUUUGGUUAGCGUGUCAGUUGGCGCUUCGUUAGGUAAGUAGCACGUAGGUAGGUAAGAUAGGUAGGUUACUUUAGCUGUAACCUUCUUUGCUUUGGUUCUGUCCAGCCCCUUUCCCCAUUUUGCUGUGUGUUGUGGGGAAUUUAUAAACCCCUGUGAGCGGUACCUGGGUUGUCUGUCGUCCUUAAACCUACCUACGACCCCAUACCCUUUUCCACUCCACGGGACAUGAAUGUGUAGCGGGGUGUUGCGUUUACUUCCCCGGGAGGCGUUUGUAACAAUUUGUUACUCAUUUAAUGCCAACAAGAGGACUCCCUUGCUUGUCACCUGCUAAGAGCCGGGUUGUUGUAAUAUAACCAACAUGCAUCCAAUACAUUUUCCUUUAAAUGAUGUAAUCACUGAUUAGAAUUGGAUUUAGAGUUUGUGUAGAUAAUAUACAUUAGAUCAACAUAUGCAGAUGUAAUGGUUAUCUAGGUACCAGUUUGACUAGUUAAGCAGCAUGUUUCUGUAAUGGUCAACGGUUAUAUUUUACCCCACUCAGAUGCAGGCAACCCCCUGAGAAGUAUAAGUGAAGUCCCAAAGCAUUGGCAGGCUCACUGCUGGUUUAAUUGUUUAUGCUUGUUUACAGGACGAAGUCAAUCAUUGAAUCAAACCAACAUUGUUAUGUAACUCCAUGAUUUCCAUUUCAACAGUUCCCCAGGUUUCACAUGCCCAAUCAAUACUGCUGAAACUAACUGUAAUUGAUUAUUUUUAAGUAAGUGUUAGAAACUGGUGACUGACUGACCAUUCAUUAUUAUUCAGCCCUUAGUCCUUUAUUGAAGACUGGAGAUAGGACGGUAAGUCUGAGUCUUAGGUGUGAUUCAGAAAUCUAAUGCCGUCAUACACAUUUGUGAUUUUAUGUCUUAGUCCCAGUGCUCAUCAUACCUCUAUCAAAAUCAUGUACAACAUCAGUUAUAACUCAUGAAGCGACCAUAGUCAACACACCCACAACAAUGGUUCUGUCGUGUUACAUACCAGUAUUAUAUAGGUACAAUGCUGUGAAAUAUUUUUUUCUAGACAUUAUUAAUUCAUGUUUUUGUCAAUUAAUAUGUUUCAUCAACAACUUUUCUUUUAAUAAAG